This 465-nucleotide ribosomal RNA is filed under the name Vreelandella stevensii. Its description in RNAcentral is "partial 16S ribosomal RNA". It matches the Rfam family "Bacterial small subunit ribosomal RNA", at positions 338 to 795 of the family's 1533-position model. Lineage: Bacteria; Pseudomonadati; Pseudomonadota; Gammaproteobacteria; Oceanospirillales; Halomonadaceae. The record is from RNAcentral.
CCUACGGGAGGCUGCAGUGGGGAAUAUUGGACAAUGGGCGAAAGCCUGAUCCAGCCAUGCCGCGUGUGUGAAGAAGGCCUUCGGGUUGUAAAGCACUUUCAGUGGGGAAGAAAGCCUUGGGGCUAAUACCCUCGAGGAAGGACAUCACCCACAGAAGAAGCACCGGCUAACUCCGUGCCAGCAGCCGCGGUAAUACGGAGGGUGCGAGCGUUAAUCGGAAUUACUGGGCGUAAAGCGCGCGUAGGCGGUCUGAUAAGCCGGUUGUGAAAGCCCCGGGCUCAACCUGGGAACGGCAUCCGGAACUGUCAGGCUAGAGGGCAGGAGAGGAAGGUAGAAUUCCCGGUGUAGCGGUGAAAUGCGUAGAGAUCGGGAGGAAUACCAGUGGCGAAGGCGGCCUUCUGGACUGACACUGACGCUGAGGUGCGAAAGCGUGGGUAGCGAACAGGAUUAGAUACCCGUGUAGUC